Molecule: ribosomal RNA, 279 nt
Filed under: uncultured bacterium
Lineage: Bacteria
Description: partial 16S ribosomal RNA
Rfam family: Bacterial small subunit ribosomal RNA
Source: RNAcentral
UGCCAGCCGCCGCGGUAAUACGAAGGGAGCUAGCGUUGUUCGGAAUUACUGGGCGUAAAGCGUGCGUAGGCGGAUCGACAAGUUGGGGGUGAAAUCCCGGGGCUUAACCCCGGAACUGCCCUCAAAACUGUCGAUCUAGAGACCGGGAGAGGUAAGCGGAAUUCCUAGUGUAGAGGUGAAAUUCGUAGAUAUCUGGAGGAACAUCAGUGGCGAAGGCGGCUCCCUGGCCAAAGACUGACGCUCAUGUGCGAAAGUGUGGGUAGCGAACAGGAUUAGAUA